Molecule: transfer RNA, 77 nt
Filed under: Eosphagnum rigescens
Lineage: Eukaryota; Viridiplantae; Streptophyta; Sphagnopsida; Sphagnales; Ambuchananiaceae
Description: tRNA-Leu
Rfam family: tRNA
About the family: Transfer RNA (tRNA) molecules are approximately 80 nucleotides in length.
Source: RNAcentral
GCCAUGGUGAAAUUGGUAGACACGCUGCUCUUAGGAAGCAGUGCUAGCGCAUCUCGGUUCGAAUCCGAGUGGCGGCA